This 70-nucleotide transfer RNA is filed under the name Parupeneus cyclostomus (goldsaddle goatfish). Its description in RNAcentral is "tRNA-Arg". It matches the Rfam family "tRNA". Rfam says of the family: Transfer RNA (tRNA) molecules are approximately 80 nucleotides in length. Their secondary structure includes four short double-helical elements and three loops (D, anti-codon, and T loops). Lineage: Eukaryota; Metazoa; Chordata; Actinopteri; Syngnathiformes; Mullidae. The record is from RNAcentral.
GGAGAGCUAGUUUAAUACAAAACAUUUGACUUCGACUCAGAAACUUGCGGAGACACCCCGCAGCUCCCCA